AAUGCACCAAUUUGUAAGUCGCUUUGGAUAAGAGCGUCUGCUAAAUGACGUAAA
Molecule: non-coding RNA, 54 nt
Organism: Salmo salar (Atlantic salmon)
Lineage: Eukaryota; Metazoa; Chordata; Actinopteri; Salmoniformes; Salmonidae
Source: Rfam